GGCUGCUCCUCCUUGCUCGCGUAGUCUUGUGCUGUUUCGGGGGGGGGGGGGGGGGGGAGGCAGCCAGGCAGGGCAGUGCGGUGGCACGGAACGGGACAGCGCGGAGGGCGCGAAACGUCACGGAAGGAGUGGUCCGGUUCCCCGGCGGAUCGUCAUCGAUCAGCCUACGACCAGAAUGCUUUGCACAAAGGAAGGGGGUGCCAUGGCCCAGGUUGGCCUACAUGUAGCUCCGCCCAUGGUCGGAUGGCAUGGCAGACGGUGGGUGGAUGUUUCCUGUUAGUGUUAGUACUGGCACCAUCGUUUGUCCCUUCCAGGGCUUUUAUCAGACGCUUUUGACUCGCGCUCUGUCCUUGGCUUUCAGUUUUCAUUUAUAAAAAAGAGAGAGAGAGAAAUCUAUGGAUUCCUGGGUCAAAGCUGAUUGGCCCCUCCUACCGUAUUAGAGACUCGGAUGGAAGAUUAAAGUCGGUGCCUCCUAGUGCCUACCCCUGAAAAAAAAGAGAGCAGAUAAAAGCGCCUGGCAAAUUCAGAUGAGCCAGCUUCUUCUUUGAAACUUUCGGAACUAGUUUGGCCCCGUUUGGUUUGGUU
Panicum virgatum (switchgrass) is the source of this 585-nucleotide long non-coding RNA. RefSeq lists it as uncharacterized. The record is from RefSeq and is a predicted model, not a curated record. The transcript is spliced from 2 exons. Lineage: Eukaryota; Viridiplantae; Streptophyta; Magnoliopsida; Poales; Poaceae.